AUAAAACUGAUGACGAAGAAAAGUAUCUUUACCCCAUAGGGUUAGAGAGGGAAUGCCUCGGCUGAAAGCAUUUCUCCCUGAUGAUAAAGUGAAAGACACUUCAUAGGUUUUAAUUCGAACGGUUAGUUUAAACCUCAGUAGAGUUACACGUGGGCAAUCGUUACUUGCAUAAUGAGGAAGCUUUUUUUGGCUUCGAAGCAGGGUGGCACCGCGGGAACUCCCGUCCCUUAU
RNAcentral lists this non-coding RNA (231 nucleotides) under Fictibacillus arsenicus. RNAcentral describes it as "T-box sequence". It matches the Rfam family "T-box leader". Rfam says of the family: Uncharged tRNA acts as the effector for transcription antitermination of genes in the T-box leader family. T-boxes are found upstream of many aminoacyl-tRNA synthetase genes and some amino acid biosynthetic genes usually in Gram-positive bacteria. Lineage: Bacteria; Bacillati; Bacillota; Bacilli; Caryophanales; Fictibacillaceae. The record is from RNAcentral.